CACCAUGCAGUCCUAUAUUUGGUGUGGUCAUCCACUGGACUGAUUUAAGAUAGAGGAAGCAAGAGGAUCCAGAGACAAUAACAGCAAGAUUUUAAUAGAAAAGGAAGCUAAAAACUGAACUUCCAAGUAAUAUCCAUCAAGAAAGGACAACUGAACAUCUUACUCGAGAUUUGAGAAUACUAACAUUCAAGCAAUGAAAACUGAUGGCAAAAAUGAUAGACAUUUCUUGUGAAUACCACCAGAUUCCUGUGUGUGUAGCAAAAGGGAACUGAAAAAUCUGUUCGCAGUGCAGCUGAAAGUGUCAUAAUUACAGAGUGACAACCUCCACUGUCAUUUAGGAGGCAGCAUCCCCAGGAAAUCUUGCUGUGUAAUCAAGGAAAGAGGUGCAAUCAGGCCCCUAUUCAGGCUGCGUUGAGAAACACCCCUGCAGGAGGCAAAAGGCUUUGAGAUGUGGCUUUGUGAAGCUGGCAGUGAUGAUACCUCCAUGGUUCUGCUUGCUACCACUGCCACUCACUACACAAUUCCCCCUCCAA
Non-coding RNA from Pogona vitticeps (central bearded dragon), 533 nucleotides. NCBI's taxonomy places the organism in Eukaryota, Metazoa, Chordata, Lepidosauria, Squamata, Agamidae. The record is from RefSeq and is a predicted model, not a curated record.